CCUACGUGAGGCAGCAGUGAGGAAUAUUGGUCCAUGGGCGAGCGCCUGAACCAGCCAAGUCGCGUGAAGGAAGAAGGCUUUCGGGUUGUAAACUUCUUUUCUCAGGGACGAAGCAAGUGACGGUACCUGAGGAAUAAGCCACGGCUAACUACGUGCCAGCAGCCGCGGUAAUACGUAGGUGGCAAGCGUUAUCCGGAUUUACUGGGUGUAAAGGGCGUGUAGGCGGGACUGCAAGUCAGAUGUGAAAACCAUGGGCUCAACCUGUGGCCUGCAUUUGAAACUGUAGUUCUUGAGUACUGGAGAGGCAGACGGAAUUCCUAGUGUAGCGGUGAAAUGCGGAGAUAUUAGGAGGAACACCAGUGGCGAAGGGGGUCCGAUGGACAGCAACUGACGCUGAGGCGCGAAAGCGUGGGGAGCAAACAGGAUUAGAUACCCCAGUAGUC
Molecule: ribosomal RNA, 443 nt
Filed under: uncultured bacterium
Lineage: Bacteria
Description: partial 16S ribosomal RNA
Rfam family: Bacterial small subunit ribosomal RNA
Source: RNAcentral